GGUCAGUGAUGAUUGGUGGCAUGUAUUAUCUGAUGUAAAGGUGAUGUUUAUCAUCACAUUAGCUCUAGAAUUACUCUGAGACCCA
Gallus gallus (chicken) is the source of this 85-nucleotide small nucleolar RNA. The record is from Ensembl. Lineage: Eukaryota; Metazoa; Chordata; Aves; Galliformes; Phasianidae.